This 608-nucleotide ribosomal RNA is filed under the name Hanseniaspora uvarum. Its description in RNAcentral is "partial large subunit ribosomal RNA". It matches the Rfam family "Eukaryotic large subunit ribosomal RNA", at positions 37 to 658 of the family's 3401-position model. Lineage: Eukaryota; Fungi; Ascomycota; Saccharomycetes; Saccharomycodales; Saccharomycodaceae. The record is from RNAcentral.
UGCAUAUCCCAAAAGCGGAGGAAAAGAAACCAACUGGGAUUACCUUAGUAACGGCGAGUGAAGCGGUAAAAGCUCAAAUUUGAAAUCUGGUACUUUCAGUGCCCGAGUUGUAAUUUGUAGAAUUUGUCUUUGAUUAGGUCCUUGUCUAUGUUCCUUGGAACAGGACGUCAUAGAGGGUGAGAAUCCCGUUUGGCGAGGAUACCUUUUCUYUGUAAGACUUUUUCGAAGAGUCGAGUUGUUUGGGAAUGCAGCUCAAAGUGGGUGGUAAAUUCCAUCUAAAGCUAAAUAUUGGCGAGAGACCGAUAGCGAACAAGUACAGUGAUGGAAAGAUGAAAAGAACUUUGAAAAGAGAGUGAAAAAGUACGUGAAAUUGUUGAAAGGGAAGGGCAUUUGAUCAGACAUGGUGUUUUUUGCAUGCACUCGCCUCUCGUGGGCUUGGGCCUCUCAAAAAUUUCACUGGGCCAACAUCAAUUCUGGCAGCAGGAUAAAUCAUUAAGAAUGUAGCUACUUCGGUAGUGUUAUAGCUUUUUGGAAUACUGUUAGCCGGGAUUGAGGACUGCGCUUCGGCAAGGAUGUUGGCAUAAUGGUUAAAUGCCGCCCGUCUUGAA